Molecule: long non-coding RNA, 283 nt
Filed under: Rattus norvegicus (Norway rat)
Lineage: Eukaryota; Metazoa; Chordata; Mammalia; Rodentia; Muridae
Description: long non-coding RNA NONRATT003668
Source: RNAcentral
CAGGGCCUGAGGAUCAUCUUUUCGGAUGCAUCACGGCUUAUAUUCCGGCUCAGUUCCUCCAGUGGUGUUCGGGCCACCAUCAGACUGUAUGCGGAGAGCUACGAGAGGGAUCCCAGCGGUCACGAUCAGGAACCACAGUGCUGAGCCCUCUCAUAGCCAUUGCGCUGAAAAUAUCCCAGAUUCAUGAGAGAACUGGCCGGAGAGGACCCACCGUCAUCACCUAAGCACAGGGCGGCAGAGCACUGGGAGAGAUGCUUCACCAUGCCUUCUCGCUUCCUGUUUG